Molecule: ribosomal RNA, 254 nt
Filed under: uncultured prokaryote
Description: partial 16S ribosomal RNA
Rfam family: Bacterial small subunit ribosomal RNA
Source: RNAcentral
UACGUAGGGAGCAAGCGUUGUUCGGAUUUACUGGGCGUAAAGGGCGCGUAGGCGGUCAGCACAAGUCAGUUGUGAAAUCUCCGGGCUUAACUCGGAAAGGUCAACUGAUACUGUGCGACUAGAGUGCGGAAGGGGCAAUCGGAAUUCUCGGUGUAGAGGUGAAAUUCGUAGAUAUCGGGAGGAACACCAGUGGCGAAGGCGGCGACCUGGGCCAAUAUUGACGCUGAGGUGCGAAAGCGUGGGGAGCAAACAGG